GUUGCUGCAAUAGCAAUCCUGCUCCGUAUGAGAGGAACCGCGGGUUGGUGUAUGUGUUUGGUGUGAAGCUACCCUCUGAAGGGUUAUUACCGAACGCCUCUAAGUCAGAAUCCUGCCUAGAUGCAUUGAU
Molecule: non-coding RNA, 130 nt
Filed under: Oreochromis niloticus (Nile tilapia)
Lineage: Eukaryota; Metazoa; Chordata; Actinopteri; Cichliformes; Cichlidae
Source: Rfam by way of RNAcentral